RNAcentral lists this ribosomal RNA (84 nucleotides) under Crataegus brachyacantha. RNAcentral describes it as "partial 5.8S ribosomal RNA". It matches the Rfam family "5.8S ribosomal RNA", at positions 73 to 154 of the family's 154-position model. Rfam says of the family: 5.8S ribosomal RNA (5.8S rRNA) is a component of the large subunit of the eukaryotic ribosome. It is transcribed by RNA polymerase I as part of the 45S precursor that also contains 18S and 28S rRNA. The record is from RNAcentral. Lineage: Eukaryota; Viridiplantae; Streptophyta; Magnoliopsida; Rosales; Rosaceae.
UGCAGAAUCUCGUGAACCAUCGAGUCUUUGAACGCAAGUUACGCCCUCAGCCACUAGGCCGAGGGCACGCCUGCCUGGGUGUCA